RNAcentral lists this ribosomal RNA (859 nucleotides) under Pseudolactococcus chungangensis. RNAcentral describes it as "bacterial SSU rRNA". It matches the Rfam family "Bacterial small subunit ribosomal RNA", at positions 590 to 1452 of the family's 1533-position model. The record is from RNAcentral. Lineage: Bacteria; Bacillati; Bacillota; Bacilli; Lactobacillales; Streptococcaceae.
UGAUGUAAAAGGCAGUGGCUCAACCAUUGUGUGCAUUGGAAACUGUUAGACUUGAGUGCAGUAGAGGAGAGUGGAAUUCCAUGUGUAGCGGUGAAAUGCGUAGAUAUAUGGAGGAACACCGGUGGCGAAAGCGGCUCUCUGGACUGUCACUGACACUGAGGCUCGAAAGCGUGGGUAGCAAACAGGAUUAGAUACCCUGGUAGUCCACGCCGUAAACGAUGAGUGCUAGUUGUUUGGGGCUAUCCAGCCCUAAGUGACGCAGCAAACGCAUUAAGCACUCCGCCUGGGGAGUACGACCGCAAGGUUGAAACUCAAAGGAAUUGACGGGGGCCCGCACAAGCGGUGGAGCAUGUGGUUUAAUUCGAAGCAACGCGAAGAACCUUACCAGGUCUUGACAUACUCGUGCUAUUCCUAGAGAUAGGAAGUUCCUUCGGGACACGGGAUACAGGUGGUGCAUGGUUGUCGUCAGCUCGUGUCGUGAGAUGUUGGGUUAAGUCCCGCAACGAGCGCAACCCUUAUUGUUAGUUGCCAUCAUUAAGUUGGGCACUCUAGCGAGACUGCCGGUAAUAAACCGGAGGAAGGUGGGGAUGACGUCAAAUCAUCAUGCCCCUUAUGACCUGGGCUACACACGUGCUACAAUGGUUGGUACAACGAGUCGCAAGACAGUGAUGUCAAGCUAAUCUCUUAAAGCCAAUCUCAGUUCGGAUUGUAGGCUGCAACUCGCCUACAUGAAGUCGGAAUCGCUAGUAAUCGCGGAUCAGCACGCCGCGGUGAAUACGUUCCCGGGCCUUGUACACACCGCCCGUCACACCACGAGAGUUUGUAAUACCCAAAGCCGGGAGCUAACCUUUGGAGGCGC